CUACGGGUUGCAGCAGUGGGGAAUAUUGGACAAUGGGGGAAACCCUGAUCCAGCAAUGCCGCGUGUGUGAAGAAGGCCUGCGGGUUGUAAAGCACUUUCGGUUGGGAGGACUGCUUCUAGCACUAAUAUUGUUGGAAGUUGACGUUACCUUCAGAAGAAGCACCGGCUACUCCGUGCCAGCAGCCGCGGUAAUACGGAGGGUGCAAGCGUGAAUCGGAAUUACUGGGCGUAAAGCGCGCGUAGGCGGCUAGAUCAGUCGGGUGUGAAAGCCCCGGGCUUAACCUGGGAACUGCAUCCGAUACUGUCUAGCUAGAGUACAGGAGAGGAGAGUGGAAUUCCACAUGUAGCGGUGAAAUGCGUAGAUAUGUGGAGGAACACCAAUGGCGAAGGCAGCUCUCUGGCCUGAUACUGACGCUGAGGUGCGAAAGCGUGGGGAGCAAACAGGAUUAGAUACCCUCGUAGUC
Molecule: ribosomal RNA, 464 nt
Filed under: uncultured bacterium
Lineage: Bacteria
Description: partial 16S ribosomal RNA
Rfam family: Bacterial small subunit ribosomal RNA
Source: RNAcentral